UAGGGAAUCUUCGGCAAUGGACGAAAGUCUGACCGAGCAACGCCGCGUGAGUGAAGAAGGUUUUCGGAUCGUAAAACUCUGUUGUUAGAGAAGAACAAGGACGUUAGUAACUGAACGUCCCCUGACGGUAUCUAACCAGAAAGCCACGGCUAACUACGUGCCAGCAGCCGCGGUAAUACGUAGGUGGCAAGCGUUGUCCGGAUUUAUUGGGCGUAAAGCGAGCGCAGGCGGUUUCUUAAGUCUGAUGUGAAAGCCCCCGGCUCAACCGGGGAGGGUCAUUGGAAACUGGGAGACUUGAGUGCAGAAGAGGGGAGUGGAAUUCCAUGUGUAGCGGUGAAAUGCGUAGAUAGAUGGAGGAACACCAGUGGCGAAGGCGGCUCUCUGGUCUGUAACUGACGCUGAGGCUCGAAAGCGUGGGGAGCAAACAGG
RNAcentral lists this ribosomal RNA (429 nucleotides) under Gemmatimonadota bacterium. Its description in RNAcentral is "Gemmatimonadetes bacterium partial 16S ribosomal RNA". It matches the Rfam family "Bacterial small subunit ribosomal RNA", at positions 355 to 776 of the family's 1533-position model. Lineage: Bacteria; Pseudomonadati; Gemmatimonadota. The record is from RNAcentral.